AACGAACGCUGGCGGCAUGCCUAACACAUGCAAGUCGAACGAGACCUUCGGGUCUAGUGGCGCACGGGUGCGUAACGCGUGGGAAUCUGCCCUUGGGUUCGGAAUAACAGUUGGAAACGACUGCUAAUACCGGAUGAUGACGUAAGUCCAAAGAUUUAUCGCCCAAGGAUGAGUCCGCGUAGGAUUAGCUAGUUGGUGAGGUAAAGGCUCACCAAGGCGACGAUCCUUAGCUGGUCUGAGAGGAUGAUCAGCCACACUGGGACUGAGACACGGCCCAGACUCCUACGGGAGGCAGCAGUGGGGAAUAUUGGACAAUGGGCGAAAGCCUGAUCCAGCAAUGCCGCGUGAGUGAUGAAGGCCUUAGGGUUGUAAAGCUCUUUUACCCGGGAUGAUAAUGACAGUACCGGGAGAAUAAGCUCCGGCUAACUCCGUG
This 433-nucleotide ribosomal RNA is filed under the name uncultured bacterium. Its description in RNAcentral is "partial 16S ribosomal RNA". It matches the Rfam family "Bacterial small subunit ribosomal RNA", at positions 29 to 507 of the family's 1533-position model. The record is from RNAcentral.